This 1352-nucleotide ribosomal RNA is filed under the name Salmonella enterica subsp. enterica serovar Enteritidis. Its description in RNAcentral is "partial 23S ribosomal RNA". It matches the Rfam family "Bacterial large subunit ribosomal RNA", at positions 1525 to 2851 of the family's 2925-position model. Lineage: Bacteria; Pseudomonadati; Pseudomonadota; Gammaproteobacteria; Enterobacterales; Enterobacteriaceae. The record is from RNAcentral.
GUGUGUUCCAGGUAAAUCCGGUUCACUUUAACACUGAGGCGUGACGACGAGGCACUACGGUGCUGAAGCAACAAAUGCCCUGCUUCCAGGAAAAGCCUCUAAGCAUCAGGUAACAUCAAAUCGUACCCCAAACCGACACAGGUGGUCAGGUAGAGAAUACCAAGGCGCUUGAGAGAACUCGGGUGAAGGAACUAGGCAAAAUGGUGCCGUAACUUCGGGAGAAGGCACGCUGACACGUAGGUGAAGUGAUUUACUCAUGGAGCUGAAGUCAGUCGAAGAUACCAGCUGGCUGCAACUGUUUAUUAAAAACACAGCACUGUGCAAACACGAAAGUGGACGUAUACGGUGUGACGCCUGCCCGGUGCCGGAAGGUUAAUUGAUGGGGUCAGCGCAAGCGAAGCUCCUGAUCGAAGCCCCGGUAAACGGCGGCCGUAACUAUAACGGUCCUAAGGUAGCGAAAUUCCUUGUCGGGUAAGUUCCGACCUGCACGAAUGGCGUAAUGAUGGCCAGGCUGUCUCCACCCGAGACUCAGUGAAAUUGAACUCGCUGUGAAGAUGCAGUGUACCCGCGGCAAGACGGAAAGACCCCGUGAACCUUUACUAUAGCUUGACACUGAACAUUGAGCCUUGAUGUGUAGGAUAGGUGGGAGGCUUUGAAGUGUGGACGCCAGUCUGCAUGGAGCCGACCUUGAAAUACCACCCUUUAAUGUUUGAUGUUCUAACGUGGACCCGUUACCCGGGUUGCGGACAGUGUCUGGUGGGUAGUUUGACUGGGGCGGUCUCCUCCUAAAGAGUAACGGAGGAGCACGAAGGUUGGCUAAUCCUGGUCGGACAUCAGGAGGUUAGUGCAAUGGCAUAAGCCAGCUUGACUGCGAGCGUGACGGCGCGAGCAGGUGCGAAAGCAGGUCAUAGUGAUCCGGUGGUUCUGAAUGGAAGGGCCAUCGCUCAACGGAUAAAAGGUACUCCGGGGAUAACAGGCUGAUACCGCCCAAGAGUUCAUAUCGACGGCGGUGUUUGGCACCUCGAUGUCGGCUCAUCACAUCCUGGGGCUGAAGUAGGUCCCAAGGGUAUGGCUGUUCGCCAUUUAAAGUGGUACGCGAGCUGGGUUUAGAACGUCGUGAGACAGUUCGGUCCCUAUCUGCCGUGGGCGCUGGAGAACUGAGGGGGGCUGCUCCUAGUACGAGAGGACCGGAGUGGACGCAUCACUGGUGUUCGGGUUGUCAUGCCAAUGGCACUGCCCGGUAGCUAAAUGCGGAAGAGAUAAGUGCUGAAAGCAUCUAAGCACGAAACUUGCCCCGAGAUGAGUUCUCCCUGAGACUUAAAGUCUCCUGAAGGAACGUUGAAGACGACGAC